UGUUUAAAAACCAGGCGAAAAUAGGCUUUUGGUUCAAAUGUUGUUUGAAAAGUGAACGGUUGAGCUUUUUUUUGCAUUUAGGUCUUGUCAGGCUCUAAUAACUCCCUAUAAUGCGCCACCACUGACACGGAACAACGGCAUACAGGCCGCCGGGUCAGAAAGGCUUCAUUAAGAAGUCUGUGAGGAAAGCGAAAAUAAAGGCUUGACUCAAAAAGAGGAAAGCGUAAUAUACGCCACCUCGCGACGGUGAGCUGAAAGCCGCGUCGCACCUGCUCUUUAACAAUUUAUCAGACAAUCUGUGUGGGCACUCGAAGAUACGGAUUCUUAACGUCCUCGGACGAAAAAUGAAUACCAAGUCUCAAGAGUGAACACGUAAUUCAUUACGAAGUUUAAUUCUUUGAGCAUCAAACUUUNGGGAACCUGCGGUUGGAUCACCUCCUUACCUUAAAGAAGCGUACUUUGCAGUGCUCACACAGAUUGUCUGAUGAAAAGUGAAUAGCAAGGCGUUUACGCGUUGGGAGUGAGGCUGAAAAAAUAAGGCCGUUCGCUUUCUAUUAAUGAAAGCUCACCCUACACGAAAAUAUCACGCAGCGCGUGAUAAGCAAUUUUCGUGUCCCCUUCGUCUAGAGGCCCAGGACACCGCCCUUUCACGGCGGUAACAGGGGUUCGAAUCCCCUAGGGGACGCCAUUCAUGACUGGGGUGAAGUCGUAACAAGGUAACCGUAGGGGAACCUGCGGUUGGAUCACCUCCUUACCUUAAAGAACUGUUCUUUGCAGUGCUCACACAGAUUGUCUGAUGAAAAGUGAAUAGCAAGGCGUCUUGCGAUUGAGACUUCAGUGUCCCCUUCGUCUAGAGGCCCAGGACACCGCCCUUUCACGGCGGNCUUUGUGAUUCAUGACUGGGGUGAAGUCGUAACAAGGUAACCGUAGGGGAACCUGCGGUUGGAUCACCUCCUUACCUGAAAGAAGCGUACUUUGCAGUGCUCACACAGAUUGUCUGAUGAAAAGUAAAUAGCAAGGCGUCUUGCGAUUGAGACUUCAGUGUCCCCUUCGUCUAGAGGCCCAGGACACCGCCCUUUCACGGCGGUAACAGGGGUUCGAAUCCCCUAGGGGACGCCACUUGCUGGUUUGUGAGUGAAAGUCACCUGCCUUAAUAUCUCAAAACUGACUUACGAGUCACGUUUGAGAUAUUUGCUCUUUAAAAAUCUGGAUCAAGCUGAAAAUUGAAACACAGAACAACGAAAGUUGUUCGUGAGUCUCUCAAAUUGUAAUAGCUCACUGGUCGAGUCGGCCUGCGCGGAAGAUGUAACGGGGCUAAACCAUGCACCGAAGCUGCGGCAGCGACACUCAGGUGUUGUUGGGUAGGGGAGCGUUCUGUAAGCCUGCGAAGGUGGCCUGUGAGGGUUGCUGGAGGUAUCAGAAGUGCGAAUGCUNGGAGCUGAAGUCAGUCGAAGAUACCAGCUGGCUGCAACUGUUUAUUAAAAACACAGCACUGUGCAAACACGAAAGUGGACGUAUACGGUGUGACGCCUGCCCGGUGCCGGAAGGUUAAUUGAUGGGGUCAGCGCAAGCGAAGCUCCUGAUCGAAGCCCCGGUAAACGGCGGCCGUAACUAUAACGGUCCUAAGGUAGCGAAAUUCCUUGUCGGGUAAGUUCCGACCUGCACGAAUGGCGUAAUGAUGGCCAGGCUGUCUCCACCCGAGACUCAGUGAAAUUGAACUCGCUGUGAAGAUGCAGUGUACCCGCGGCAAGACGGAAAGACCCCGUGAACCUUUACUAUAGCUUGACACUGAACAUUGAGCCUUGAUGUGUAGGAUAGGUGGGAGGCUUUGAAGUGUGGACGCCAGUCUGCAUGGAGCCGACCUUGAAAUACCACCCUUUAAUGUUUGAUGUUCUAACGUGGACCCGUAAUCCGGGUUGCGGACAGUGUCUGGUGGGUAGUUUGACUGGGGCGGUCUCCUCCUAAAGAGUAACGGAGGAGCACGAAGGUUGGCUAAUCCUGGUCGGACAUCAGGAGGUUAGUGCAAUGGCAUAAGCCAGCUUGACUGCGAGCGUGACGGCGCGAGCAGGUGCGAAAGCAGGUCAUAGUGAUCCGGUGGUUCUGAAUGGAAGGGCCAUCGCUCAACGGAUAAAAGGUACUCCGGGGAUAACAGGCUGAUACCGCCCAAGAGUUCAUAUCGACGGCGGUGUUUGGCACCUCGAUGUCGGCUCAUCACAUCCUGGGGCUGAAGUAGGUCCCAAGGGUAUGGCUGUUCGCCAUUUAAAGUGGUACGCGAGCUGGGUUUAGAACGUCGUGAGACAGUUCGGUCCCUAUCUGCCGUGGGCGCUGGAGAACUGAGGGGGGCUGCUCCUAGUACGAGAGGACCGGAGUGGACGCAUCACUGGUGUUCGGGUUGUCAUGCCAAUGGCACUGCCCGGUAGCUAAAUGCGGAAGAGAUAAGUGCUGAAAGCAUCUAAGCACGAAACUUGCCCCGAGAUGAGUUCUCCCUGAGACUUAGAGUCUCCUGAAGGAACGUUGAAGACGACGACGUUGAUAGGCCGGGUGUGUAAGCGCAGCGAUGCGUUGAGCUAACCGGUACUAAUGAACCGUGAGGCUUAACC
This 2600-nucleotide ribosomal RNA is filed under the name Salmonella enterica subsp. enterica serovar Derby. Its description in RNAcentral is "bacterial LSU rRNA". The stretch from base 904 to 2600 matches the Rfam family "Bacterial large subunit ribosomal RNA". Lineage: Bacteria; Pseudomonadati; Pseudomonadota; Gammaproteobacteria; Enterobacterales; Enterobacteriaceae. The record is from RNAcentral.